GAUGAACGCUGGCGGCGUGCCUAAUACAUGCAAGUCGAGCGAACGGACGAGAAGCUUGCUUUUCUGAUGUUAGCGGCGGACGGGUGAGUAACACGUGGAUAACCUACCUAUAAGACUGGGAUAACUUCGGGAAACCGGAGCUCAUACCGGAUAAUAUUUUGAACCGCAUGGUUCAAAAGUGAAAGACGGUCUUGCUGUCACUUAUAGAUGGAUCCGCGCUGCAUUAGCUAGUUGGUAAGGUAACGGCUUACCAAGGCAACGAUGCAUAGCCGACCUGAGAGGGUGAUCGGCCACACUGGAACUGAGACACAGUACAGACUCCUACGGGAGGCAGCAGUAGGGAAUCUUCCGCAAUGGGCGAAAGCCUGACGGAGCAACGCCGCGUGAGUGAUGAAGGUCUUCGGAUCGUAAAACUCUGUUAUUAGGGAAGAACAUAUGUGUAAGUAACUGUGCACAUCUUGACGGUACCUAAUCAGAAAGCCACGGCUAACUACGUG
This 497-nucleotide ribosomal RNA is filed under the name uncultured bacterium. RNAcentral's name for it is "partial 16S ribosomal RNA". It matches the Rfam family "Bacterial small subunit ribosomal RNA", at positions 28 to 507 of the family's 1533-position model. The record is from RNAcentral.